Long non-coding RNA from Oenanthe melanoleuca, 405 nucleotides. RefSeq lists it as uncharacterized. The transcript is spliced from 3 exons. The record is from RefSeq and is a predicted model, not a curated record. NCBI's taxonomy places the organism in Eukaryota, Metazoa, Chordata, Aves, Passeriformes, Muscicapidae.
AUGGAAUUCUGGGUAGUGGGAACCAUGGAAUUCUGGGAAGAGGAGCCAUGGAAUUCUGGGUGGUGGGAGCCAUGGAAUUCUAGCUGUGCAUUGUGCUGGACCCUGAGGUCAGUGUGGUGGAAGAAAGUAGAUAUGGAGCCAUGGAUUUAUGGAUUUGUUGUUUCCUGAAGUGCAGGUUUCCCAAAGCACCAGGGAUGCUCAGGGAUGGAAAACAAGGGAUCCUUCAGCCCAAAUCUUCUGAGCUGUUUGCUGGAGACCUCACCAUGGCCUGAUGGCAGUGGCAGGAUGGAGUGGCACUAAAAAUUCCUUUUUUGAUAGCAUAGAAUGGCUCUAAAAAAACUCUUUUGUGACUGGAUGGAGUGGCCCAAAAAAAACCACCCUUUUUUAACUGGAUUGAAUGGCCCC